RNAcentral lists this ribosomal RNA (468 nucleotides) under uncultured bacterium. RNAcentral's name for it is "partial 16S ribosomal RNA". It matches the Rfam family "Bacterial small subunit ribosomal RNA", at positions 28 to 507 of the family's 1533-position model. The record is from RNAcentral.
GACGAACGCUGGCGGCGUGCUUAACACAUGCAAGUCGAACGGAGAGGCCCUGCUUUUGUGGGGUGCUCGAGUGGCGAACGGGUGAGUAACACGUGAGUAACCUGCCCUUGACUUUGGGAUAACUUCAGGAAACUGGGGCUAAUACCGGAUAGGAGCUCCUGCUGCAUGGUGGGGGUUGGAAAGUUUCGGCGGUUGGGGAUGGACUCGCGGCUUCUCUGCUUGUUGGUGGGGUAGUGGCUUACCCAGGCCUUGACGGGUAGCCGGCCUGAGAGGGUGACCGGCCACAUUGGGACUGAGAUGCGGGCCAGACUCCUACGGGAGGCAGCAGUGGGGAAUAUUGCACGAUGGGCGGAAGCCUGAUGCAGCAACGCCGCGUGCGGGAUGACGGCCUUCGGGUUGUAAACCGCUUUCGCCUGUGACGAAGCGUGAGUGACGGUAAUGGGUAAAGAAGCACCGGCUAACUACGUG